UACGAAGGGUGCAAGCGUUACUCGGAAUUACUGGGCGUAAAGGGUGCGUAGGUGGUUUGUUAAGUCUGCUGUGAAAUCCCCGGGCUCAACCUGGGAAUGGCAGUGGAUACUGGCAAGCUAGAGUGCGGUAGGGGGUAGUGGAAUUCCCGGUGUAGCAGUGAAAUGCGUAGAGAUCGGGAGGAACACCAGUGGCGAAGGCGGCUACCUGGACCAGCACUGACACUGAAGCACGAAAGCGUGGGGAGCAAACAGG
RNAcentral lists this ribosomal RNA (253 nucleotides) under uncultured bacterium. RNAcentral's name for it is "partial 16S ribosomal RNA". It matches the Rfam family "Bacterial small subunit ribosomal RNA", at positions 524 to 776 of the family's 1533-position model. The record is from RNAcentral.